This 534-nucleotide small RNA is filed under the name Sarocladium summerbellii. RNAcentral describes it as "eukaryotic LSU rRNA". It matches the Rfam family "Eukaryotic large subunit ribosomal RNA", at positions 63 to 608 of the family's 3401-position model. Lineage: Eukaryota; Fungi; Ascomycota; Sordariomycetes; Hypocreales; Sarocladiaceae. The record is from RNAcentral.
AACCAACAGGGAUUGCCUCAGUAACGGCGAGUGAAGCGGCAACAGCUCAAAUUUGAAAUCUGGCCGCAAGGUCCGAGUUGUAAUUUGCAGAGGAUGCUUUUGGCGAGGUGCCUUCCGAGUUCCCUGGAACGGGACGCCAUAGAGGGUGAGAGCCCCGUACGGUUACGCACCGAGCCUCUGUAAAGCUCCUUCGACGAGUCGAGUAGUUUGGGAAUGCUGCUCUAAAUGGGAGGUGUACGUCUUCUAAAGCUAAAUACCGGCCAGAGACCGAUAGCGCACAAGUAGAGUGAUCGAAAGAUGAAAAGCACUUUGAAAAGAGGGUUAAAAAGUACGUGAAAUUGUUGAAAGGGAAGCAUUUAUGACCAGACUUGGGCAUGGUUGAACAUCCGGCGUUCUCGCCGGUGCACUCUGCCAGCCCAGGCCAGCAUCAGUUUGCCCCGGGGGAUAAAGGCGGCGGGAAUGUAGCUCUCUCCGGGGAGUGUUAUAGCCCGUCGUGCAAUGCCCUGGGGCGGACUGAGGUUCGCGCUUCGGGCA